AUUCUUUCUUAGAUGUAUGUAUAUAUAAAAAAUAAUGUCGUAAGUUAAAAAAAAAAGAAUUGGAGAAAGGACACCUAGGAAGAGGUGAUUUUUAGAAAGCGCUGAUUAUCGUGAAAAGUACAGAAUUUUAUUUCAUGCUUAUAAUCUUCUACAGAGACCCUCUCAAGCGAUUCGAACAAAACGGGAUGCUUUUUACAAGGAGAUCCUCCAAGUUCCCUAAGAAGUAAGAUAUCUCUUCUGAGAUACCGAAGGAGUUACCGAAAUCGCAUAGUACACAGGUAGUACCAGUCCGAUGAAAGCAACAAGGAUGUAAUACAGUACUAAGUGACGGAUUCCUACAAUAAGGAAACAGCACGCAGCAAACUGAAACUCCCCGCCUGUAAUGGCCCAGUCCUAUUCCCGAACCGUUUCUUUCAAGAAACGAAGAAAUAUUGACCGAGCCUCUUCAAAUGGAUACGCAACGGUGCGGUGGUACGAUACGGGCGUUUGACACAAGUGGAUACCCGGCCCAAGGGUAAUCCUGGAAAGUUACAUCGGGUCUAUGCAGAAUAAAAAUACAGAAUUUUUAAAAUCCCGUAUGGUAAUCAAGCCAUCAGAGAAUCCCCAGCUAACGACUGCUACAGUGGUAUAGUAGACCUCAAGGAAUUCCACAGGAAAACACUGGAGAAAGUAUAUAGAAUGGCAUUGGAAAGGUGGCAACAGCCAGCAAGCAAAUAUUCCGCAAUUCUUAAGGAGGUAGGAGUCGCAGGCUACAUCCUUAUUUACGAAAGAGACCACUAUGAAUCUACUUACCUCUUCCUGCAUAAGUUAUUCCCGGAAUAAGUCUGGAAAGGAAAACCUAGGUAACUAGGGAGCAGUGGCGGCUCGUAGCUAAAAUUAGUGGGGGUGCUGCUCCAGAAAAUUUUUAACCUUUGUGCAGAGGAAGGUCCAAAAGUAAGAACUAUGUAUUAUUAGUCUUCUAGGAGAUGUUCGUAGUCUUGUACCAUCGUAAAUCAGAGUUUAUCAGGACAAAUAGUUUUGCCGUGCUAACGACCUUCCAAUUUUUUCAGCCUCUGGAACGUCUAGGUCUAGGACCUCUACGUGAUUGUGUGAUUUAAGAACUGAUAUGAUAGAUAUACUUUAACAAUUUUAGACAAAGGAUGACAUAUAAUAGCGUCCCAAAUAACAAGUACUGUUUUUAUAGACCCAGGUAUAAUCAUUCAUUAGGGCAGAGCACCUUAGUAACAGUAACGGUACAUGAGAUUUUAUAUUAGUUCUCUUAGGAGCCAUUGAUGUAAUUAGGAUUUUUAUUUGGGGUCAUCAGUUCUUUCAACUUUAGGUCGAGUUUAUAUUGGGCAAAUAAACUUUGCCGGUACCAGGGGACGAAAAGACUUGCCCAGUAUAAAUUCGGCCCAAGUACACGUUAUUUAUUUUUAUUAGGAUUUUAGGAGCAGGCAAAUGGUUUUUGACUUCCUUCAAUAAUUGCUGGUGUCCAGGGUAGUUUUACAGGUGGUAAUAAAUA
Osmia lignaria (orchard mason bee) is the source of this 1501-nucleotide long non-coding RNA. RefSeq lists it as uncharacterized. The record is from RefSeq and is a predicted model, not a curated record. NCBI's taxonomy places the organism in Eukaryota, Metazoa, Arthropoda, Insecta, Hymenoptera, Megachilidae.